RNAcentral lists this ribosomal RNA (470 nucleotides) under uncultured bacterium. Its description in RNAcentral is "bacterial SSU rRNA". It matches the Rfam family "Bacterial small subunit ribosomal RNA", at positions 28 to 479 of the family's 1533-position model. The record is from RNAcentral.
GAUGAACGCUGGCGGCGUGCCUAAUACAUGCAAGUCGAGCGCGAAGAUCAGGAGCUUGCUCCUGAGAUUCGAGCGGCGGACGGGUGAGUAACACGUAGGCAACCUACCCUUGAGAUUGGGAUAACUACCGGAAACGGUAGCUAAUACCGGAUACGACAUUCCUGCAUAAGUAAGAAUGUUAAAAGGCGGAUUUAUCUGCCGCUCAUGGAUGGGCCUGCGGUGCAUUAGCUAGUUGGUGAGAUAGUAGCUCACCAAGGCGACGAUGCAUAGCCGACCUGAGAGGGUGAUCGGCCACACUGGGACUGAGACACGGCCCAGACUCCUACGGGAGGCAGCAGUAGGGAAUCUUCCGCAAUGGACGCAAGUCUGACGGAGCAACGCCGCGUGAGUGAUGAAGGGUUUCGGCUCGUAAAACUCUGUUGUUAAGGAAGAACACUUGAGGUAGUAACUGGCCUUGAGAUGACGGUACU